UCGAAACCUCGAUCGAAACGAGCCGACUUGCGCACUUGUCAACCAAAUAGGGGGGACGGAGAGGGGAUGGAGCGUGCCGUGCGAGGGACCCCUCCGCGUCGCCUGCACCCCCCCCCCCCCGAACGUCGUCCUAGCGUGGUCGCGAGGCGGCCCCUUCGCCUCAUGUGCGGGGGACGCUCGUCGAGCGGCGACGAUGGGCGCGGCGGCACAACCAAACCCCGGCGCGAGUCGCGCCAAGGAAAAUGGAUAUACAACCUCCGCGCUCCCCGUCGGCUCAGGCGACGGGGGCCGGCGUUGUUUCGUUUAAUGCGUACAAGAGAU
RNAcentral lists this unclassified non-coding RNA (321 nucleotides) under Drosera spatulata. RNAcentral describes it as "partial ITS1". The record is from RNAcentral. Lineage: Eukaryota; Viridiplantae; Streptophyta; Magnoliopsida; Caryophyllales; Droseraceae.